This is a non-coding RNA of Ceratotherium simum simum (southern white rhinoceros), 379 nucleotides long. The record is from RefSeq and is a predicted model, not a curated record. NCBI's taxonomy places the organism in Eukaryota, Metazoa, Chordata, Mammalia, Perissodactyla, Rhinocerotidae.
CAGCAAAUCAGCUGCAAUUGGGGCCAUUAAUUGCUUGACCUUGAACUCCCAAAAGAUAUUCCAGCCUGCAAAAAGCAUGUGUUCUGGUCUGCUCUCAGCAAGGCUAGUAGCGGAGUGGUAAAUGUCCUGUCCCUGUAAGGCUGGGAAAAGACAAUAAGUCAAGUCAGACCUGGGUAUGAUAUUGAUCUACUAGGAGACUGUUUCCUGGGAAUACUGUGCAGCUUAGAAAGGUGAAGGUGUCAGACCAGCACCAUGGUUUGAAGGCUUUCCUUGCCUUCUCCUGUUCCCUCAUCCAAUAACUCUCUUACAUGUCUGGUCCUUUCAUGGCAGUGGACCUGAAUAACACAAUAUGCAAUAGGACAACUUGGAUAGACAAAGU